CGGAGUGAGGGCGGGGCCGCGUGCGCAGGCGCCGGGGGCGCGCUUCGCUGAGGAACGGCUCAGUGCGGCGGGAUCGUGGCGCCCACCUGGCUCUAGCUUGGGACUCAGGGACUGACGCGGCGACCACUGCCCUCAGUUACUGCUGAGCGUCAGGAGGGAUGUUGGGGGCCGAGGGCACCAGGGAGGGUUGGCACAGAGGGGCUGCAGCGCUUCCUGGACGGAGUGCCCGCAGAGUACCCGUAGCUGGAGACCCGGCCGGGGCCGGACGCGGACUUCCCUGGUGGCACAGUCGUUAAGAAUCUGCCUGCCAAUGCAGGGGACACGGGUUCGAGGCCUGGUCUGGGAAGAUCCCACAUGCUGCGAUGCAACUAAGCCCAUGCGCCACAACUACUGAGCCUGCACUCUAGAGCCUGUGAGCCACAAUUACUGAGCCUGCGUGCCACAACUACUGAAGCCCACGCGCCUAGAGCCCAUGCUUCGCAGCAAGAGAAGCCACCACAAUGAGAAGCCUGCACACUGCAACAAAGAGUAGCCCCUGCUCUGCAAUUAGAGAAAACCCGUGCACAGCAACAAAGACCCAAUGCAGCCAAAAAUAAAUAAAUAAAUAAAUUUAUUUUUAAAACAUUUAA
This is a long non-coding RNA of Physeter macrocephalus (sperm whale), 629 nucleotides long. RefSeq lists it as uncharacterized. The transcript is spliced from 2 exons. The record is from RefSeq and is a predicted model, not a curated record. Lineage: Eukaryota; Metazoa; Chordata; Mammalia; Artiodactyla; Physeteridae.